This 3958-nucleotide long non-coding RNA is filed under the name Arabidopsis thaliana (thale cress). RNAcentral's name for it is "long non-coding RNA (ATHA_LNC000443)". The record is from RNAcentral. Lineage: Eukaryota; Viridiplantae; Streptophyta; Magnoliopsida; Brassicales; Brassicaceae.
AGAUGACUUCUUUUUCCCAGGGCUUCAAACUGCAAGACCCAUAACAAGUCCUGUUGGGUCGACCGUGACAGCCGUCAAUGUUAACAACCUUCUUGGGUUAAACACUCUUGGAAUCUCCCUUGUCCGUAUUGAUUAUGCGGUUGACGGACAGAACCCACCUCACACCCACCCACGUGCCACGGAGAUCUUGGUUGUCGAACUAGGAACACUUCUCGUAGGGUUUGUUACAUCAAACCCCGAUAAUCGCCUAUUCACUAAAGUUCUCAACGAGGGUGAUGUAUUUGUGUUUCCAGAGGGACUCAUCCAUUUUCAAGCAAACAUUGGCAAGGCACCAGCGGUUGCAUUCGCCGCUCUAAGCAGCCAAAACCCUGGUGUCAUCACUAUUGCACCAACCGUGUUUGGGGCUAACCCAGCCAUCAACCCAAAUAUUCUUGCAAAGGCGUUCCAGGUUGACCCAAGGGUUGUCAUGGAUCUACAGACCAAGUUCAAGAAAUAAUAAUAUCGUACUUUUGAAUUGCUAUCCCUUUAUAUAUUUGUGCCUGAAUAAGGAUCGUGUUUCUCCGUCCAUCCUUUCGUGACAUGAUCUGUUUCUUUGCUUCACCUUGAUUCAAUUCUAAAUAAAUUAAUAUUUGCACAUAUGUUUUUAAAAAUGUAUUCAUGUUCCUAAUGUCAGUUUGGAAAUUCACAAGUUAUCACUAUUCUGGUGGAGUUUUCUUCAACAAAACAAAAACAACAACAAAAAAACCAUAUUCAUUCAUUACAAAAUAUAUCAAAGUCUCUAGCUCAUUGAGAGAUUUUUGCCUUCAGAAUCCCUUAACAAAAAACAGAAAAAAAGAAGAAGAAGAGAUGUUUCGCCUUGAGACCAUCCACAUUGAAUAGCCUCUCAUGUUGUCUUAAAUACUAAACAUAGUUAAAAUUAAAGACAUCCUCCUUUUUGGAUGUCAAAAAUGUCUUUCCUAUGACAUUUUAGACACUCAAAACAGAAAAUGUCUUUAAUUAAUUAAUUAAUUAAUUUUUAUUUAUUUUUUUAAUGUCUUUAAUUUUAAUCAUGAUUAAACUAUUUUUACCAUGGUUAGUCUUUGAGACAUCCAUGAGAGGUUAUGCAAUGGAGAUACUUUGAGGAAUUAACGUUUUUAGCUAAAGAAGUUAAAGACUAAUCACGUGCCAUGAGCAUGGGAAAUUUUACUCGGUUUUAAACAAAUAACUUGCUUUGAUUUAUGUUUUUUCUUCUUCUCCAUCUUGCUUGUUCAAUUUGUAUCAAAAGACAAAGAGAGGAAAAUUCAUUGAUGUGGCACAUAUAUAUGGCUAGUGCUCUACGAUGGAUUUACCACCGAAAUACGGGUUCGGAUUUAUGUGGAAAAGGUAAAAUAUACUCCGAAAACAUUAGUUAUAUAUCCAAUGAUCAAAAAUCGAUAUAUAGACGGUAACUAAAACAUUUGAUAAGAGUCUGGGGCCUUAUUAGUAUAAAUAUGGGUUAGAAUAUUACCAUAUAUCUAAAUCCUCAAUAUAUUUAGGUUUAGCCGGCGCCUAAACUAUCUUGUAAUAUAAAUAUUUUCCUCUAGAUCAAUAAAGAUUCAAGCUAUUCUCUCAACUUUGGCAUGCUAGCAGAGCCAAACACUAAUAGAGCCAAACACUAAUUGAUCCAAACACACAAAACUCUUCUCUCAUCACAUAGAUUUUCACUAUGGUGAACCCUCCUCCCUCACCAAACUCCGGUAAAAGUACUUCGACCUCCGGAAUAACUAAAGAUUCUUCUCAAAUCUCAAACUCUCCUUAUUACUUAUAUCCAUCGGAUCACCCUCAUCAAGUUCAGUUAAGAUUUGCUCACUCAAAAACGUCGUCUACUUUUUCUUGAGAACAAACCACACACAAAACACGAACAAGAAUAUGCUUUGUUUUCGAAACAGAAUAUUGAGAACAUAGAAAAUGUGAAACCGGAAAAGAUGCAAGAUGAAAGUGCAAGAAGUAAGAACAGAGAACACAAGAGCAGGUUUGAUAACCUAGUUCACUCCCAAAAGGGUAGCUACGUCUCGGCCGAGACUGUGCUCGGAAUCCACUAAAUCAGAGAUAGUGUUUACAAGGAGAAAUACAAAUGACCACUCGAUACCUUUCACUAGUACUCAAGUUCACUCUGUAUCACUCUCCUUCUAAUCCAGUUUUCCACGAGCGUAUGAAACACAUUGAAAACGACUGUCAUUUCAUUCACAUUGAGCUCGUUUCAGGAAACAUUGCAACCGCUCAUGUGGGCACUACCGAGUAGCUAACGGAUCUCCGUACUAUAGCAUUUGGAUGUUAACAAUUUCAGUAUUUAUUUCGCAAAUUAAGCGUUUAUAACCUGCACGGUCCAACUUGAGGGAGAGUAUUAGGAUAAAUAUGAUUUGGAAUAUUACCAUAUCUCUAAAUUCUCAAUAUAUUUAGGUUUAGCCUAAACUCUCUUGUAAUAUAAAUACUCUCCUCUAAAUCAAUAAAGAUUCAGGCUAUUCUCUCAACUUUGGCAGGCCUAGAACGAGAGUUUAGGCAGAACGGAGCCUAGGCCUUAAGAAAUUUAUUGUAUUUAGUUAUAUACAUGUUAAGAUUUUAUAUAUCACUAAUUAUAUAUACCUGCCUCCAUUUUGAAAAGAAAUCUAACAAUACAUUCCCUUAUUUCAAAUUUAAAUUUGAAUUUAACAUAGAAGAAAAAUCUAAUAUCAUAAAGUUCAAACCCAAAAAAUAAUUAAUAAACAGUUAAAAGCUAAAUGUCGAGAUGAUCAAUUGAAUCCUUUUUAUAUCCGAAUAUUUAGUUAAAGUACGUCGUAUGAUACGACAUAAGCAUUAAACAAAAAAAAACUUAAAUAUUAACCAAUUUGAGCAAUUUUGGCCAAUUUGAACUGAUUUAGACUGCCUGAACCGGAUUUCUGAUUUUUCCCAGUGAUACGAUGAAAAUCGUUUCGGUUGAGACCACCUAGACUGCCUAAACGGGCCCUUUGAACGUUUUUUUUAAAACAUUAAUUAUAUCUUAUCUCUAUACUAUUAUUCUCAUUAUCCAUUAAUUACAUUUGGUUUAUAUAGUCGUGUCUUAUCUAAGAAACAAUCAAACAGAUACACCAAAUGCUAACAAUUUAACACACCCCAACACGUUCACAUUGACCUUCCCUUCGAGUAAUCACUCAAUAAAUGUAUAUCAAACUUCAAGUGCACCACGUUUCGUUGGGAAAUAAUUUUUUUUUUUUCAUCAACUUGAAUUUUGAAUUAAACAUAAUUUGUUCAAGAAUGUUUUUUUAAAUACUUUUAACCAAGUCAAAUAUCAAGUUCAUUGUAUUACUUAAUUUCUUGGAUUAGUUCAACACGUAAACUCAUCUAUAAAAUUGAAGUCUAUGUCUCAUAAGUUUCUUAUCUCUUCAAUACAAUCUUAUUCCACAAACAUAAACCCUCUUCCUAUCUUUUUAAUGGCAAUGAAGAGUCUCUCAUUUCUUGCAGUGCUCUCUCUCUUGGCUUUAACACUUCCAUUAGCCAUUGCUUCUGAUCCAAGCCAACUUCAAGACUUUUGUGUCAGCGCCAACACCUCAGCCAAUGGCGGUAUGUACAUGAUGAUUGCAAAUCAUUUUCAAUAAAAAAUUUCAUAUCUUAAUAACACUUUUUCUUCUUGGUUACUAUUUUCAGUUUUUGUUAAUGGAAAGUUCUGCAAGGACCCAAAGCUGGUCACAGCAGAUGACUUCUUUUUCUCAGGGCUUCAAACUGCAAGACCCAUUACUAGUCCCGUUGGGUCGACCGUGACAGCCGUCAAUGUUAACAACCUUCUUGGAUUAAACACUCUUGGAAUCUCCCUUGUCCGUAUUGAUUAUGCGGUUAACGGACAGAACCCACCUCACACCCACCCACGUGCCACAGAGAUCUUGGUUGUCGAACAAGGAACACUUCUCGUAGGGUUUGUCACAUCAAACCCGGAUAAUCGCCUAUUCUCAAAAGUUCUCAACGAGGG